ACGCACGCUGGCGGCGUGCUUAACACAUGCCAGUCGAACGGGCCCGCUCUCUUUUUUGGGGGUGGGUUGAGUGGCGAACGGGUGAGUAUCACGUGAGUAACCUGCCCCCUGCUCCUGGAUAACUGCUUGAAAGGGCGGCUAAUACGGGGUGUGCCGGCUGGUCCGCAUGGGCCUGGUCGGGAUAGUUUCAUCUUCGGGUGUUUCGGUGGGGGAUGGGCUCGCGGCCUAUCAGCUUGUUGGUGGGGUGAUGGCCCACCAAGGCGGUGACGGGUAGCCGGCCUGAGAGGGUGGGCGGCCACACUGGGACUGAGACACGGCCCAGACUCCUGCGGGAGGCAGCAGUGGGGGGUAUUGCACAAUGGGCGGAAGCCUGAUGCAGCGACGUCGCGUGAGGGAUGGAGGCCUUCGGGUUGUGAACCUCUUUCUCCGGUGGUGAAGGCCCUGUCCGUUGCGGCGGGGUUGACGGUAGCCGGGUAUGAAGCGCCGGCUAACUACGUG
Molecule: ribosomal RNA, 498 nt
Filed under: uncultured bacterium
Lineage: Bacteria
Description: partial 16S ribosomal RNA
Rfam family: Bacterial small subunit ribosomal RNA
Source: RNAcentral